This 468-nucleotide ribosomal RNA is filed under the name uncultured bacterium. Its description in RNAcentral is "partial 16S ribosomal RNA". It matches the Rfam family "Bacterial small subunit ribosomal RNA", at positions 28 to 507 of the family's 1533-position model. The record is from RNAcentral.
GACGAACGCUGGCGGCGUGCUUAACACAUGCAAGUCGAACGGAAAGGCCCUGCUUUUGUGGGGUGCUCGAGUGGCGAACGGGUGAGUAACACGUGAGUAACCUGCCCUUGACUUUGGGAUAACUUCAGGAAACUGGGGCUAAUACCGGAUAGGAGCUCCUGCUGCAUGGUGGGGGUUGGAAAGUUUCGGCGGUUGGGGAUGGACUCGCGGCUUAUCAGCUUGUUGGUGGGGUAGUGGCUUACCAAGGCUUUGACGGGUAGCCGGCCUGAGAGGGUGACCGGCCACAUUGGGACUGAGAUACGGUCCAGACUCCUACGGGAGGCAGCAGUGGGGAAUAUUGCACAAUGGGCGGAAGCCUGAUGCAGCAACGCCGCGUGCGGGAUGACGGCCUUCGGGUUGUAAACCGCUUUCGCCUGCGACGAAGCGUGAGUGACGGUAAUGGGUAAAGAAGCACCGGCUAACUACGUG